This 460-nucleotide ribosomal RNA is filed under the name uncultured bacterium. RNAcentral's name for it is "partial 16S ribosomal RNA". It matches the Rfam family "Bacterial small subunit ribosomal RNA", at positions 338 to 795 of the family's 1533-position model. The record is from RNAcentral.
CCUACGGGAGGCAGCAGUGAGGAAUAUUGGUCAAUGGGCUUACGCCUGAACCAGCCAAGUCGCGUGAGGGAAGACUGCCCUAUGGGUUGUAAACCUCUUUUGUCAGGGAGCAACGCCGGCUACGUGUAGCCGGACUGAGAGUACCUGAAGAAAAAGCAUCGGCGAACUCCGUGCCAGCAGCCGCGGUAAUACGGAGGAUGCGAGCGUUAUCCGGAUUGAUUGGGGUUAAAGGGUGCGUAGGCGGAAUGCCAAGUCAGCGGUAAAAUCGCGGGGCUCAACCUCGCUCCGCCGUUGAAACUGGCGUUCUUGAGUGGGCGAGAGGUAUGCGGAAUGCGUGGUGUAGCGGUGAAAUGCGUAGAUAUCACGCAGAACUCCGAUUGCGAAGGCAGCAUACCGGCGCCCAACUGACGCUGAAGCACGAAAGCGUGGGUAUCGAACAGGAUUAGAUACCCCAGUAGUC